GAUGAAGAACGUAGCGAAAUGCGAUAAGUAAUGUGAAUUGCAGAAUUCAGUGAAUCAUCGAAUCUUUGAACGCACAUUGCGCCCGCCAGUAUUCUUGCGGGCAUGCCUGUCUGAGCGUCAUUUCAACCCUCAUGCCCCUAGGGCGUGGUGUUGGGGAUCGGCCAAAGCCCGCGAGGGACGGCCGGCCCCUAAAUCUAGUGGCGGACCCGUCGUGGCCUCCUCUGCGAAGUAGUGAUAUUCCGCAUCGGAGAGCGACGAGCCCCUGCCGUUAAACCCCCAACUUUCCAAGGUUGACCUCAGAUCAGGUAGGAAUACCCGCUGAACUUAAGCAUAUCAAUAAGCGGAGGA
Molecule: unclassified non-coding RNA, 348 nt
Filed under: soil metagenome
Description: partial contains 5.8S ribosomal RNA, internal transcribed spacer 2, and large subunit ribosomal RNA
Rfam family: 5.8S ribosomal RNA (bases 1-120)
Source: RNAcentral